RNAcentral lists this long non-coding RNA (20779 nucleotides) under Vitis vinifera (wine grape). RNAcentral's name for it is "long non-coding RNA (VVIN_LNC000268)". Lineage: Eukaryota; Viridiplantae; Streptophyta; Magnoliopsida; Vitales; Vitaceae. The record is from RNAcentral.
GUUGCUGGGAUUGGAGGAAUUUGUGGGGUGGAUGGAGAGAGAGGGUGAAGAGAGAAAGAUGGAGGAUUUGAGAGAGGCCUUUAGGAUGUAUGAGAUGGAAGGGAGUGGGUGUAUUACUGCAAAGAGCUUGAAAAGGAUGCUGAGUAGAUUGGGGGAGUCAAGAAGUGUGGAAGAGUGCAGUGUUAUGAUCGGACAAUUUGAUGUAAAUGGGGAUGGGGUUCUGAGCUUUGAUGAGUUCAAGCGCAUGAUGCUUUAAUCUUGUUUAACAUCUUUUAUCUGAAUGUUGUAUUUUUUUUUUUAGAUUUAAGAAGAGUGGUUUGUAUUCAAAAAUUAAGAUUCUCCUCAUUGCUUUCCUCGUGCACAUGGUGAAGAAAAUACUCCCUAUUCUAUAUUUGAUUUUGCAUAAAAAUUCCUUUUACGGCAAAGAGCAAGUGUGAUAAAAUUUAAGUUGAUUUUUAAAUUAAAUUGUUAGUUCAAAUCAUUUUCUCUCUGUGUUUGUAAAAUACUCAUAUUAAAAAUAUUAUAAAAAUACAUAAUAUUAUUACAUAAAAUAAUAAUGAAAUAUAUAUCAUGGAAAAAAUGAAGUAUUAAAUUAUUUUAUAUUUUUAAAAAGUUAUUUAGUCUAAGUUAUUGUUUUGCAUUAUUUUAACUUUAAAUUAUAUAGAAUUAAUUUACCAAUAAGCCUAGACCCCAUUUGAAAUAGAGUUUAACUUUUGCCCUAAUAAUAAAUAAGUAGAAGUAUAAGUAUUAUUAGUGUAAUUGAAUUUUAUAUUUUGGAAUGAUAUCUAUCCCCGCAAAUUUAGGCAGUCUUGUAAAAUAAGUAAAACUAUUGAAAAAAUAUGAGAAUAAAAAUUUUGCAUUAAAAUAAUUAUCGGGGUGCACAAUCCAUAGGACGAUAAUGAAUUGGAGUUCAAGAUCAAUUAAGGACCUUUUUUUUUUUUUUUUAAGUGGGAAGUUGUUUUUCACAAUUUUAUCAUUGAAGGAAGUUAUCUGUAUUUGUAAGUGAAGUUAGAGAAUUAAAUUUGGAAUACCGAAGAUUUGAUUAUUUAAUUCAAGAAGUUUGGUUUCUUAAAGUUAACAACUUGUCUAAUUUAUUUAGGAAAUUAGUCAAUAAGAGAAUAUUUAUUUUCAAUUUUCUUUUGAUUUUGUCUUUUUUUAUUGAGGAAAUUUGUUAAUAAAAAAUAUAUAUUUUUAAUUCUCUCCUAAACUUUAAUGAUUUGAUUUAAUUUUAUUUUGUAAUACUUCUAAAUUUCAUGAGGUGUCACAUUUGAAUAGUCAUAGAAGUGCCUUCACAAAUGUAAAUAUAAUUACAUUUGAUCUCAUUGUAACCAUAUCGAGAAGUCGAUACACGACUCAUAUUGUAAACUCUCCCUAGAAGUUGACUACACACUUAUUUGGUAAAUUACAAUAGUAAAAGAAAAAGAACACAAAAUAUGCACCUAGCCCAAAGUUGGAUGAGAUUUACUUUUGUGAAUAUUAACAUUAACACUAUGUUUGGUUCAUAGAACAUUUGAGAGAAAGAAAAUAGGUAAGAAUCGAAAUAAAAAAAAAAGAAAAAGUUAAGAAAAAUAAAAAAUAAAGUUGAAGUCGAUAAAUUAUUUUUAUUUACUACUAUAAACUCAUUUUAUUUAUUUUAACUCAUCAGUAUAAGGAUUAAAUAAUUUAAAUUUUAAAAAUGUAUAAAUUUUUAAUUAAUUUUAAUUAUAUUUAAUUUUCUUGAAAAUUGUUUCUAGAACAAUCAAAUAUAAGAAAAUCAUUUUUUUAAAUAUUUUUUUUAAUACUUUUCGUGCACCAAAUAUAACUUAAAAGUAUUUUUAUUUUUUAUAUAAAAUAUCACUAUCCUAUUAUUAAACAAAUCAAGGGUCUGUUUAAAAAUAAAUUAUUUUCCAUGGGUAUAAAUAUCUCAAAAAGAUAAUAAAAAAGCCACAUUUAAUUUACUAAUAUAAAAAAGUCCACACCUGAUAAAUCUUUUCCACCUCAUGUCUAGGCAGAUAGAAGGGAGAAAGAGACCAAAAAGACAAACUAGCUUUCUGUGGCGGUUGAGUGUUUUGACCGUUGUAGAUGUAAUUCUAUCUCAAUUUAAUCCAGGCAGCUUCUCACUUUCUUCCCCCAAAAAAUCCAUCAAUUACGCACUCCCUGACACCGUGAUCCAUGCUUUCUUCUUCUCAUCUUCAACUUCAAAACUUCCAAGUUUCCAAUCCUUUUAUGCGUCUCAUAAAGCUAUAUAUAGACUCACAAAUUGUUAUUCACAACACUCCAAGCAUCCAAGUUCUUGCGGUAAGCAGCCAUGAUUAACUGCAGCAUAUAUGAACGCAUAUUCAAGCGCUUUGAUGAAGAUGGUGAUGGGAAACUCUCUCCUUCGGAGCUUCGAAGUUGCGUGGGGACGAUAGGGGAGGAGCUGCUGAUGGAGGAGGCGCAGGAGGUGGUGGAGUCGAUGGACUCAGACGGGGAUGGGUUGGUGGGUUUGGAGGAAUUUGUGGGGUGCAUGGAGAGAGAGGGCGAAAAGAGAAAGAUGGAGGAGUUGAGAGAGGCUUUUAGGAUGUAUGAGAUGGAAGGGAGUGGGUGUAUUACUCCAAAGAGCUUGAAGAGGAUGCUGAGUAGAUUGGGGGAGUCGAGAAGCGUGGAGGAGUGCAGUGUUAUGAUCAGGCAGUUUGAUGUUAAUGGCGAUGGGGUUAUGAGCUUUUAUGAGUUCAAGCUCAUGAUGCUUUAAUAUUGUUUGAUACCUUCCACAUGAAUUUUAUAUUCUUUUUAGAUUUAUAAAGAGUGAUUUGUAUUCAAGAUUCUUUCUACAUAAGGGUCUCCAACGGGCCGGGCCGGGCCGUCCGGCUCGGAGGAGUAAGACCCAUGGCCCAGCUCGAGGCGGGCCACUGAGUCAACGGGCCAGGCCGGGCCGGGCCCUUGGUAUAUCUAAGGCCCGUGGCCCAGCCUGUGGGCCCUCAAGCUGGGCGGGCCGACUGGGGAAAAAAUUAAAAUAGUUUUUAGUUUUGAAGGGAAGAGGUUCGAAAUCCCCUUCCCUUAUGGAUCCAUAAGGGAGCUAGCCACCAACUGAGCUAGUCCUCUUUUGUGUAACUAUUUUGCAUUAGUUAUAUAUAUAUAUAUUAGAAAUGUUGUAUGAUUUUUGAAAAAAUAUAAAAGUGAGUUGGCUGUUCAACGGUCACAUGACUCACAUGACCGUUGAACAUGUCUGCCACUCAAUUCAAUAUUAUGACCGUUGAACGAUCUUGAUUAAAAAAAAAAGAAAUAAUAAAUCCUAAUAUUUAAAUCUCUAUAAAUAUUAAAUACCCUCAAUUUUUUUCUAUUCUCUCAACUCUUAAGCUCUCUCCCAUUCCACAAUAUUUCCGAUUAUUGCAUUUUAUCUCAAAUUAUUCAAUAUUAUUGAUGGUGAAAAACAAGCAUUGGUGGUUCAAAAAGUUCAAAUUUGAAGGAAUUUCUGCUUCGGUUCUCUAAUUUAGUAACAUACUUCACCUUUACUUUUAUUUAUUUGUUACAUUUUAAUUUUACAUUUAUUAUUUUUAGCAUAAUAUUUUAUCAAUAAUUAUAAUUAUGGCAAGUGGUUCUUGUUCUUCAUCUAAUACAUGUGAUAGCAAAAAAUUUACAUCAAAUAUAUGGAAUUUUUUUGAUAGAAUAGAAAUAAAUUUAGAAAAUAAUAAAAAAGAAAUAAAAGCAAAAUGUAAAAUUUGUAACAAACUUCUUAGUGGUGGCUCAAAUGCAGGUACAAGUCAUUUAAAAAGGCAUCAUGAAAAUUGUAAAACUAAAAAUAAUGUAGAUAUUAGAAAUUAUAUGCAAUUAGGUAAAGAUGAAAGUGGAAAUUUAAAAACAUUUUCUUAUGAUGAAUCUUAUUGUUGUGAAGAAAUGAUUGGUUAUAUAAUAAGAGCAGAACAACCUUUCAAUUUCAUGGAAACUCAUGAUUUUACGGGAACAAUGCAACGAGCUGUUAAUCCUCAGUUUUAAGGUUGCUCUGGAAAUACAGUUAAAAGAAUUCUUAUAAAAAAUUUUGAAACACAAAAAGAAAAUUAAAAAUUUUUUUUUGCAAAUUUUGAAGAAAGAAUUUGUUUAACAUCUGAUAUUUGGACAUCUUUAACUCAUAGUGGUUUUUUUAUAUAUAACUGCUCAUUAUAUUGAUAAUGAAUGAAAAUUAAAUAAAAGAAUUAUUUCAUUUAAAAUAAUAAAUGCUCCAUAUAAUGGUAAAAAUAUAGCAUCUUUAAUAAAUGAUGAAAUUAUAGAUUUUGGCAUUCGUGAUAAAAUAUUUACAAUAACAUUAGAUAAUGCUUCUAAUAAUGAUGCAGCAGUAUCUAGAUUAAAACGAUAUUGGCAAAUAAAAGAAGAUCAAUGUAAAAUAUUUCAUGUGCGUUGUUGUGCACAUAUUUUAAAUUUCAUUGUAAAAGAUGGAUUAAAACACGUUGAUGAUACAUUAUAAAAAAUUAGAGGCAUUGCUGCGGGUCUUAAUAGUUCUCAAGCAAAACAUGAAUUAUUUUUUUAUUGUUGCAAAAUGUUAAAUAUGAAAAAAAGAAAUAUAAAUUUGGAUAUGCCCACUAGAUGGAAUUCCACUUAUAAACUUUUACAAACUAUUACAAAAUAUAGAAAAGUAGUAGAACUAUAUGAAAUACAAUUAAUUAACAAUGAUUGUGAAACAAAUAUUGAUGUAUUAAAUGAUUAUUAUUGGCAUAUUGCAGAUCUUUUAAGAGAUCUUUUUGAAGUAUUUGAUACUUCAACAAAAAAUUUUUGUGGUGUAUAUUAUCCAUCUUCAAACCGAGUUGUCAUGCAAAUAACUAAUAUUUUUAUUGUACUUCAAAAAUAUUUAAAUUUGGAUAUAUUUAAUGAUGCAAUAUUUGCAAUGAUAGAAAAAUUUAGAAAAUAUUGGGGAGAAAUACCUUUAAUUUUUUAUCUUGGUUUUGUGGACCCUAGAUUGAAAUUUGAAACUUUGGAUGAAUGGUUAACAAUUAUUUAUUUUAAUGACCAAAUAAAAAUUGAAGAAAUUAAAAAUGAAAUAAAUUCAUUAUUAUAUAAUUUAUAUAACUAUUAUAAAGAAAAAUAUGGUGAUGAUAUUAGUUCUAUUAAAUUACCACCUAUAUCUACAAGUUCUUCAUCUUUUUAUAAAGGAGCUCUAGAAAUGUUAAAAAGUUGAAAGAAGAUAACAAAUAGUUCUCCAAACAACACAACUGAUUUAGAUAGAUAUCUUAAUAUUGAUUUAAUUUCAUUUGAAGAUGAUGAAGAUUUUGAUAUUUUAAUAUGGUGGAAAUCACAACAACACAAAUAUCCUGUGCUUUCUAUCAUUGCUCGUGAUGUACUAACAGUUCUUGUGAGUACAGUUGCAUCAGAAGCUGCUUUUAGUGUAGGUGGAAGAGUAGUUAGUGAUAAACGAUGCAACUUAGCGCCGGAUUCUAUUGAAGCAAAUAUAUGUGUGAAAGACUGGACAAUAGUAGAUAAAAGGAUAUUUGAUUCUAUUCAAGAAGAAAAUAUGCUUGUCGAUAUGGAAAAACUAAAAUCAUCAAGAUCUUCAUGGAUUUGCGAUAGUUCGCCAACACCGCCAAGAGAUAAUGAUUAAAAUAUUUUACUAAAUGUAUGUCAUAUUUUUAUUUUUAUUUUUGUAGUUGAAAAGUACAAAUGAUUGACAAAUAAGUAGGUGCCAACCUAGUUGGGAUGUAUUUAUUUUGUAGUGAUGUAAACUUUUCCCACAUUUUCAAAUGUAACGUAUACAUUCAAUGAAUAAAAUAGUUAGCAAUGAAUAUUUUUAUUAAUGUAGUAUUUUCUAUUUCUUGAAUAUUUAUAUAUAUAUAUAUAUUUAAGUGGCGGGCCUACGGGCGGGCCAGCCCACCGGGCCUAAAUUGGAGCCCAUGGCUCGGUCCAUCCAAAAAUGGGCUCGAGCCGGGCCGGGCCUAGGCCAGGCCGCGGGCUUUUUAGAGACCCUUAUUUCCACAUAUACAGAGGAAUAUGAUUUUUUUUUCUUUCCACUCUAUAACAUUUAUAUAUAUAUAUAUAUAUAUAUAUAUGUUCUGUACAUGAUUGUUUGGGCCAAUUAAACUCUCAAGGGUGUGUGGAACCCUGCACUAGUCUUGUUAUAUACGGUAACUCAACUGACUUUAAAUGGAAGUUGGUGCUUUAACACAUAGCGUUAAUAUGUUUAGUAACUUAAAUUAAUUUAUUAAACAAUUCUAUAUCUUUUUAAUAUGCCAACCAAGGGAAUUAUAGCAUUUUUCUCAUUCAUGCUAAGGAAUUAGUGAAAGUAUGGAUUGUGAAGUUAACAUAUAACAACUCGCGCUUAACUGUAUAGAUAUUAUCCUCUCUAAGUCCUAAAGGGCCCUUACAGCUUUAAAAUGUAUCUACAUGAUUUAGAGAGAUCUAUACUUAUAUAGUAUCAUAAAUUUUCUCUCAUAUUCAAUAUGGGGUAUCAUAAACACCCUCUAUGCAAAUAUAACGUUCUCGUUGUAUUCCAUGAUAUUAUGGGGUAAAACAGAUAAACAAUCCUUAUAGGGCCAAAUAUACCCCCACACCAAGAUCGAUGAUUAGUUCUAAUAUCACUUAUAACGACAUGUAUCUAACCAUGUAGAUAUUUUUCGCUCUAGAAAUUGGAUAUGAGAGAAAGUUUAUGACGUUAUAUAUGUAGAGGUUCCUCUUAAUUCUAUAAACGCAUUUUAAAAUUGUGAAGACCCCUUUGGAUUCAGAGUUGAUAAUAUCUACACAGUUGGAUGAGGUUCGUUAUCUAACAUCUUAUUUUGUUAAUUAAUUUCCAACUAAUUGUCACUAUGUUCAAUGAAUCCCUUCAUCUAUAAAGAAAAGAAAAGGGGGUUGAGUUGGGAGCCUACAAUUUCUCUUAUUGUGGAUGUUUUCUGAAUGCAUUAUUGAGUAGUCAUAGAAGUGCCUUCUUAACUGUCAAUAAAAUUACAUUUGAUCUCAUUGUAACCAUAUCGAGAAGUCGAUACAUGACUCAUAUUGUAAACUCUCUCUAGAAGUUGACUACAAACUUAUUUGGUAAAUUACAAUAGUAAAAGAAAAAGAACACAAAAUAUGCACCUAGCCAAAGUUGGAUGAGAUUUACUUUUGUGAAUAUUAACAUUAAGGCUAUGUUUGGUUCGUAGAAAAUUUGAGAGAAAGAAAAUAGAUAAGAAAAUAAAUAAGAAAAAAAAAGUGAAGAAAAAUAAAAAAAAUAGAGUUGAAAUUGAUAAAUUAUAUUUAUUUACUACUUUAAAUUCAUUUUAUUUAUUUUAACUCAUCAUUAUAAAGAUUAAAAAAUUUAAAAUUUAAAAAUAUAUAAGUUCUUAAUUAAUUUUAAUUAUAUUUAAUUUUCUUGAAAAUUCUUUCUAGAACAAUCAAAUAUAAGAAAAUUAUUUUUCUUGAUAUUUUUUUCUUUUCUUAAUACUUUUCGUGCACCAAAUAUAACUUAAAAGUAUUUUUAUUUUUUAUAUAAAAUAUCACAUAUAAUUUUAUAAAAUCUAUCCUAUUAUUAAACAAAUCAAGGGUCUGUUUAAAAAUAAAUAAAUAAAUAAUUUUCCAUGGGUGUAAAUAUCUCAAAAAGAUAAUAAAAAAGCCACAUUUAAUUUACUAAUAUAAAAAAGUCCACACCUGAUAAAUCUUUUCCACCUCAUGUCUAGGCAGAUAGAAGGGAGAAAGAGACCAAAAAGACCAACUAGCUUUCUGUGGCGGUUGAGUGUUUUGACCGUUGUAGAUGUAAUUCUAUCUCAAUUUAAUCCAGGCAGCUUCUCACUUUCUUCCCCCAAAAAAUCCAUCAAUUACGUACGCACUCCCUGACACCGUGAUCAAUGCUUUCUUCUUCUCAUCUUCAACUUCAAAACUUCCAAGUUCCAAUCCUUUUACGCGUCUCAUAAAGCUAUAUAUGGACUCACAAAUUGUUAUUCACAACACUCCAAGAAUCCAAGUUCUUGCGGUAAGCAGCCAUGAUUAACUGCAGCAUAUAUGAACGCAUAUUCAAGCGCUUUGAUGAAGAUGGUGAUGGGAAACUCUCUCCUUCGGAGCUUCGACGUUGCGUGGGGACGAUAGGGGAGGAGCUACUGAUGGAGGAGGCGCAGGAGGUGGUGGAGUCGAUGGACUCAGACGGGGAUGGGUUGGUGGGGUUGGAGGAAUUUGUGGGGUGGAUGAAGAGAGAGGGCGAAGAGAGAAAGAUGGAGGAGUUGAGAGAGGCUUUUAGGAUGUAUGAGAUGGAAGGGAGUGGGUGUAUUACUCCAAAGAGCUUGAAGAGGAUGCUGAGUAGAUUGGGGGAGUCGAGAAGCGUGGAGGAGUGCAGUGUUAUGAUCAGGCAGUUUGAUGUUAAUGGCGAUGGGGUUCUGAGCUUUGAUGAGUUCAAGCUCAUGAUGUUUUGAUAUUGUAAUGAUUAUAUAUAUGAUUUUUAUUUCCUUUUCCGGUGAAUAACAUUUAUGCCUUAAUUAAAACACUUCAUCGUCUUAUCUAUUAUUAUUAUUGAAACUAAAUAAAAACCCUAUUAGUUACUAUCAAUGACAAAAUAAAAUUUAAAAUAUUAAAAAUACAAUUAAAACUAAAAAAAAUCAAUAAUAAAUAAUGCCAAAACAAAAUAUUGGUUUUCUACCAAAAAAUUAAAAAAAAAAAUAGUUUUCUAUUAAAAGUUUGUCACUUUAUCAAUGUCUAUAAUUUCUUAUAAAAAAAAUAUUUUGAUGGAUCCUAAAUAUUUUCAUAGUGAUCCUUUUCAAUCUAACUCUAGGUCAUUAGUAUAUAUGCAUUGCUUCCAUAAUAAUACCGAAUUUAUUUUUAUUUAAUUAAAUCUUUUUUUCUUAAAUGCGAGAUCAUUAUAACAAAAUCCUUUUAAAUUUAAUUACUCUAUUUGAAUAAAUCGAUUUUACUUAUUUGAAAGAAUGAAAAAUAUGAUAUUUGAUGUUUGAAAAUUCCAUCUUUGUACCUUUAAAAUCUAAUUUUAAAAAGGAUGGAACUUUAAUAUGCUUAAUAACAUAAAUUAAUUUAUCAAAUGCUUAUAAAAUUUUCUAAUAUUUUAAGUAUGAUAAACAAUUUAUUUUUCAAUCUUAUGUAAAAAAUAUUUGCUAAUGUAUUAAAAAUAAAUGUAAUUGGGAAAAAGCUUGUAAGUUGUGUCAUUCAUCCAUGCUGAGGAGUCAGUAGCAGUGUGAAGAAGUUGAUAGGUUGUCUGAAAAACCAGUUGAGUCUUUUGACGUUAGCUUGUUGUUCUACAGAAGAACACUAUUUUUUUUAUUUUUUUUUAUUUUAUUUUUUAUGUUUUAAUUUUGUAAACAUGUUUCUCGUUUGUCGCGUCAUAUCCACCUCAUGUCCGGGUGGAUUGAAAAAGCAAAAGGCUAGAAGAAAAGUAUUCUAUUCUUAGUAAAGUCAAUACGCACUCCGUGACGUCCCCUCCAGAACUUCCUAGUAAAGUUCGAUUCUUCACUCUCAAAAUCUCCAUACCCAACAGCUCUAUCUACUCCUUUUACGCGUCCCCACAACAGCUAUAUAUAUGCACACACAAGGUGUUCAUCCUCACAUCUUCACAUCUUACUACAAAUUAAGUUUUAUUCACAUUAAUUUUCAUUAACAUCCUUGUGUUGCGACAGCCAUGAUUAACUGCAAUGUGUAUGAACGCAUUUUCAAGCGCUUCGAUGAGGAUGGUGAUGGGAAACUCUCUCCUUCGGAGCUCCGACGCUGCUUGGGGACGAUAGGGGAGGAGUUGCUGAUGGAGGAGGCGCAGGAGGUGGUGGAGUCGAUGGACUCGGACGGAGAUGGGUUGCCGGGAUAGGAGGAAUUUGUGGGGUGGAUGGAGAGAGAGGGUGAAGACAGAAAGAUGAAGGAGUUGAGAGAGGCCUUUAGAAUGUAUGAGAUGGAAGGGAGUGGGUGUAUUACUGCAAAGAGCUUGAAGAGGAUGCUGAGUAGAUUGGGGGAGUCAAGAAGUGUGGAAGAGUGCAGUGUUACGAUCGGACAGUUUGAUGUAAAUGGGGAUGGGGUUCUGAGCUUUGAUGAGUUCAAGCUCAUGUUGCUUUAAUCUUGUUUGAUACCUUCCAUGUGAAUUUUGUAUUAUUUUUAGGUUUAUAAGAGUGAUUUGUAUUCAAGAUUCUUUCUACAUACAAGAGGAAUAUGAUUUUUUUCUUCUUUCGGUUUAUAACUCUAGACAUAAAAAUUUUAGUGGAUUAAAUUAUCACUAAUUUGGUCUUAAAAAAUUGAUAAAUAAAAAUAGAUAUCCUCUUAUGGAUAACUUUUCUAAAAAAGAAACUAAUCUCCAACUAUAAAAAGGAUAAUAAUAAAUAUAUUAUUAUUAUUAUUAUUAUUAUCAUGUUAGUACAUUAUUAGAAGUUGCUAAAAUCAAGAAACUAAAUCCAUUAAUUGGGGAAUUCAAAAUUCAAAUUCUCUAUCUUCACGUAUAAAUAGAAGUGAUUUCUUUCAAGAAAAAGAGGGAGAAAUUAAAAAAUAAAAAUCUAAAAAGGAAAAUCUUAAGGAGAAAAUCCAAAGACGAUUUUAGAAUCAUCAAAUCUCCUUGACUACUACAUGUGUUCUUCACCAUUAAACGAGUUCAUUUAGGAAUAAGCCACUUGUGGCCCUCAAUUGAUCUUCGAAAUAAAAAAAAAAGGCCAUCGUUGUUUUUCAAGUUGUGGACAAAGCGAAAGAAUCGGAGAGAAAAUAUUCUUUUGUGAAGAAUAUUAUAUUUGAGAUUGUACCCACAAUAUUUUUAAUUUCAAUAAAUAUUUUGUUUGCAUUAUUUUCCUAUUUGUUUUACUAAUUUUACAAAAUUUGAGCAUACAAUAACAUUUAUAUGUAUAUAUAUAUAUAUACUUUACAUGAUUGUUUGGGGCAAACCCUGAAGGGUGUUUAGACCUACACUAAUCUUGUUAUAUACAACGAUGAUGACAAGUUUUACUAAUCAGGGGACUAGGAUUCUAAGAAAGAAGAACUCAAUUGACUGUGAAUGGAAGUUGGUGCUUUAACGCAUAUCGUUAAUAUGCUUAAUAACAACUCUAAAGGUCUGUUGUUUAGGAAAAUAGCAACUCUAAAGGCCUCAUCCCAAUAUUUUAGAGGCAUAGAAGCUUUAGCUAAUAAAAUGAGACCAUUUUAUACUAUGUGACGAUGUUUUCUCUUCCCAACCCCAUUUUGUUCAUGAGUAUGAGGGCAAGAAUUUCUAUGAAUUAUACCAUGGGACAUUAAGAGAUCAGUAAAAGCUCUAUCUUGUCCUCCCCAAUUAGUUUGAAUAGCCUUUAUUUUAUAACCAAGCUAAAACUCAACUUGUGUUUCAAAAUUUGAGAAAGUUUGAAAAGCAUCUGACUUAUGCUUUAACAAAAAAAUCCAAGUGAAACAAGAGAAUGCAUCUAUAAAGUUGAUGUAAUAUCUAUAGCCACUAGAUGACAACAUUGGAGAGGUCCCCAUAAGUCAAAGUGAACCAAUUGUAAAGGUUUUGUGUAGGUUGUAUCUGACAAUCUAAAAGGAAACGUAUGAAUUUUACCAAAGCAACAAGCUAAACAAAAAGAAUGAGAAUUUGAAUCAAGAAGAGGUAUUUUGCAAUUUGUGAGUACAACUUUUAGAACUUUCUUAGAAGGGUGGCCUAAUCUAUCAUGCCACAAAUCAUACAAUGAACAGGAAUGAGAGAGAAUAGGUACAUGAAAGGCAAUGAUAGAUGGUGCUGGAAUUGGGACCUUUGAGGAAGACAAUGAAGGUUGCAAUAGCUGGUUAAGAUGAAUUUGAACAGAUGAUGCUAGAAUUGGGACCAUUGAGAAAGACAAUAGAGGCUGCAACUGCUGGUUGAGAUGAAUUUGAGUGUGGUCAAAGACAUAAAAUCCAUUUUUAAGAUUUCCCUCCAGUAGCACAGUUUUAGAAGUCUGAUCUUUCACAAAACAGGAAUGUGAGUGAAAUUCAAAGAAAACAUCAUUAUCAUGGGCGAACUUCGAAACACUAAGUAAAUUUUUUGUUAUAGUUGGGACAUGUAAGAGUUGCUUAAGAGAAAGAAUUUUAGAAGUAUAAGGAGAGGAAAAGAUAGAUUGACCAACAUGCUUAAUGGAUAAAUCCAUACCAUUUCCAAUAUGAACUUGAUCUGAUCCAUAAUAUUCGGCCUUAGUCAUCAAAUUUGUAGCAUCAAAAGUAACAUGAUUGGAAGCUCCUGAGUUAGGAUACCAAUUGGUAUCAUUAACAACUUUUGGUGUAGCAAACAUGGCUAUCAUUUGGCCUCCUGCACCUUGUAAUUGGCUUUGAAUGAAAGAUUGUUGAUUCUAGAAUUGAGAUGGUCCUAAGAAACUCUUAUCAAAAUGAUAAUAAUAGUUCAUCCCCACAUGCCCAAUCUUUCCACAAAGUUGACGUUGAGGUUUGUUUUGAGACCAAAAACCUCUCCCACCAAAUUGACCAUUAAAGUGGCCUCCACGACCUCUUCCUCGAUUGGCAAAACCAAAACCUCCUCUAGCAUUGUUCUGAAAAUUGCAUUUUUUACCAAAAAAAAAACUGACCACUAAAGGUGUUUGGAGCACCAAAGUUGGAAUUGGAAUUUUAUGCAAAACCAUUAAUAUACCUUUUUAUGCUUUGCUGAGAGUUUUGACCAGUAACAACAAUAUUUGCUAAGCUAGGUUAUGCAGAAUCUAACUCCUUAUUCUUUUUUUCUAUCCUAGCUUCUUGAGUCAACAACAAGGAUUCUAUAUCAUCAACUAUAUAAGGGUCUAUGCGUGACUCAAUUGAAAGAAUAAAGUUGUCAUAGUCUGGUGAUAAACCCUCAAAUAUGACAUUGAAUGGCCAACUAAUCCUAGAAAAUCAAUACAACCUCUAAUCUUUAACAAAUAUUCAUUCAUAGUCAGAAACUCUUUUCUGGUGUUUCUCAAUUGUGUUUUAAAUUGAAACACUUUUGCUCGAAUUUGAACAGCAAAAUAUCUUUCCAAAUUAAGUUCGCCAUACCUGAGCAGAGUUCUCACAGUUUACCAUAUGUGUAAGAAUCCCUUCAGACAUUGAAGAAAGAAGCCAAGACAACAACAAUUGAUCUUGUUGUUCCCAAUCAAGAAAUUCUGGAUUAACAUUGUCCAUUUCUUCAUCUCUUAGCGUAAGAAACUUCAAUGGUGGGGGUUUUGUUCCAAACACAAAAUUCUGUAAUUUGUGCCCUCGAAUUGCUACAAGAACCUGCUUUCGCCAAAGCAAGAAGUUGUUGUUAUCCAAUCGAACCGAAACAAAGUGACUAAAGGAAACAAGGAUGAACCUUGAAGCAGAUGAUGAGGCUCCACCCAUGGUGGAAAUUGAAAAGCUCUCUAUUGCUGGUAUUUCAAAGCUCGGAUACCAUAUUAGGAUUUAAGAAAACAAAGGAAAACAGUGGAUUUUGGAUUGAAGAAAAACAGAGGACUUAUUAUUCACACUGUGGAAACUAGUUACAAGAGCUUCUUUAAAUAGAAGCUUAUAAUAAAAGAAUAUUUAUUUCUAAUUCUCUCUUUAUUUCAAUUAUUUGGUUUGAUUUUAUUUUGUAAUGACCCUUUUAAAUUUCAUGUCAAGUCUUUAAUGUCUAGGGCUCAUUACUUGUCAAACUCAAAUUUUUUUAAGUUAAAAAAUCAUAAUUUUGAAGACUGAUUUAAUGAUAAUUUAAUCUAUCAAAAUUUUUAAUGUAUAUAAUAUCAUAGAAUAAGAAAUGCUUUUAUUAAGGCUAUCUUUGGCUCUAGUAAAUUUGAGAAGAAAAAUAAAGAUAAAAACUAGAAAGAAAGAAAAAGUAAAAAACAAAAAUGUUUUAAAAAAUUAAAGUCUAUAAAUUAUUUUUAUAUAUUAUUUUAAAUUAUCUUAUUUAUGUUAACUUUUUUACAAAAUUAUUAAAUAAUUUUAAAAUAUAUAAAAUUUUAAUUUAUUUUAAUUCUAAUUGAUUUUCUUUUGUAUUAAAGUACACAUGAAAAAGUCAAUAUCCAGAUAAUGAUGUAACUAUUAUAUUUAUUAAAAAUUUAACUAAAUAAAAAUUAACUAAGGUGUUAUGAAAAAAUAUAUAUUUACUAAUAUAUUUAAAAUAUGUAUAUAAUUGGGAAAGUUUAUAAGUUGCAUAUGUUAUUCAUCCAUGGAAGUGUGGAAGUGUGGAAGUGGGUAGAAAGUAGUGGAAGUGCGUAGAAGUUGAUAAGUUGACUGAGUUUUGAAGGAGUUCAGAAGUUAGCUUGUCAUUCUGCUGGUUUCCAACCCAAGGCCACUAUUUUUUUAAUUUUUUUAAUUUUUUUAAUUUUGUAACAUCAAGUCUAAGGUGAUGUUUGUUUUUUUACUUAAUUCUAAAUGGAACCUUAAUACUUAAUAGUAUUAAAUAUUAGGUUGUUUGUUUUUAUAGUAUUUUAUUUCUAUUAAGUAUUAAAAGGUAAAAAAAACCAUUGUGUUAUUUUUUCUAUUUAGAAAAAGUCACAUAUUUUAGCUUUUUCUAUUUAGUAAAAAGUUUAUAAUAAGUCAUGAAAAAGUAAAAAACCAAACAACCUAAAUUCUAAAACUAAAUGAUUUUCAGCAAAAAGUCAAAAAAACAAACACCACCUAAGUCUAACAUGUCACUCGUUUGUUACGUCAUUUCCACCUCAUGUCCAGGCGGAUUGAAAAAACAAAGGCCAGAAGAAAAGUAUGUAUUCACGAGGUGGGUUUGACCGUUCUACAGUAAAAAUUCCAGCACAAUGCCUAGCAAUUUCUCCGUGAUGUCCGGCUCCUCCAGAACUUUCUAGUGAAGUCUCGAUUCUUCACUCUCAAAACCGCCAUACCUAACAGCUCCAUCUACACCUUUUACGCAUCCCCACAACUGCUAUAUAUAUGCACACACAAAGUGUUCAUCCACAUAUCUUCACAUUUGACUACAAAUUAAGUUUUAUUCACAUUAAUUUUCAUUAAAUCCUUGUGUGUUGCGACAGCCAUGAUUGACUGCAGCAUAUAUGAACGCAUAUUCAAGCGCUUUGAUGAAGAUGGAGAUGGGAAACUCUCUCCUUCGGAGCUUCGACGCUGUGUGGAGACGAUAGGGGAGGAGCUGCUGAUCGAGGAGGCGCAAGAGUUGGUGGAGUCGAUGGACUCGGACGGGGAUGGGCUGUUGGGGAUGGAGGAGUUUGUGGGGUGGAUGGAAAGAGAGGGUGAAGAGAGAAAGAUGGAGGAGUUGAGAGAGGCCUUUAGGAUGUAUGAGAUGGAAGGGAGUGGGUGUAUUACUGCAAAGAGCUUGAAGAGGAUGCUGAGUAGAUUGGGGGAGUCAAGAAGUGUGGAAGAAUGCGGUGUUAUGAUCGGACAGUUUGAUGUAAACGGGGAUGGGGUUCUGAGCUUUGAUGAGUUCAAGCUCAUGAUGCUUUAAUAUUGUUUGAUAUCUUGUAUGUGAAUGUUGUAUUCUUUUUAGAAUUAAAGAGUGGAUUGUAUUCGAGAUUCUUUCCAGAUUAUAUCAUUACUUAAAAUAACAACAAAAUAUUUACCAUAAAAACAAUUAAAUAUGACAUUAUCUUAGAUUUUGAUAAAAUUGUUUAAUUUAACUUAUUGUUUUACAUUUUUUUUUUUUCUAACCAAAUCAUACACAAAAAAACAAAUAAAUAAAAAUAUUUUAACAUGGUUCAGUUAUCAAUAUAAUCCUUAUAUUUACGAUAUGUACCAAUACUUAAAAAACUACUUAUAAAAAGAAACGAGAAAUAGUAUAAAGAUAAAACUCUAAAAAAAAACCCUUCUUAAUUGCUAUUGUACUUUCUAAAAAACAUUAUCAACGAGCUCCACCUCCAACAUUUUGAGCAAAACAUAACAAAACUAAUUAAGAUUAACUUUAAAUUAUAAUAUUAAAUUAUUUUAUAAAAAAUGUGGAUCAUCUUAAGUAAAGGAUUCCUCUUUAAUCCUCUAAUUAAAACAAUUCAUCGUCUUAUCUAUUAUUAUUACUGAAACUAAAUAAAAACCCAAUUAGUUACUAUCAAUGACAAAAUAAAUUUUAAAAUAUUAAAAAUUACAAUUAAAACUAAAAAAAUUAAUAAUAAAUAAUGCCAAAACAAAAUAUUGGUUUUCUACCUCAAAAUUAAAAAAAAAAAAAAUAGUUUUACUUUAUCAAUACCUAUAAUUUUAUAUAAAAAAAAAUAUUUUAAUGAAUCCUAAUAAAUUAUUUUUCAUAGUAAUCCUUUUCAAUCUAGCUCUACGUUAGUAUAUAUGAAUUGCAUCCGAUAGUAAUGGUGAAUUUAUUUUUAUUUAAUUGAAUUUUUUUUAUUAAAUGUGAGAUCAUUUUAACAAAAUCCUUUUAAAUUUAAUUACUCCAUUUGAAUCAAUCGAUUUUACUUAUCUAAAAAAAUGAAAAAUAUGAUAUUUGAUGUUUGAAAAUAUCCAUAAAUCAGGUUGAAAGUUGCGAGGUUGAUGUUUGAAAAUUCUAUCUUUGUACUUUUAAAAACUAAUUUUAAAAAGGAUGGAACUUUAAUAUGCCUAAUAACAUAAAUUAAUUUGUCAAACACUUAUAAAAUUUUCUAAUAUUUUAAGUAUGAUAAACAAUUUAUUUUUCCAUCUUAUGUAAAAAAAAUAUUUGCUAAUGUAUUAAAAAUAAAUGUAAUUGGGAAAAAGCUUGUACGUCGUGUCAUUCAUCCACGCUGAGGAGUCAGUGGCAGUGUGAAGAAGUUAAUAGGUAGUCUGAAAGACCAGUUCUGAGUCUUUUGACGUUAGCUGCUUGUUCUACAGAAGACCACUAUUUUGUUUGUUUGUUUGUUUUUUUUUUUUUUUUUUUUUUUUUUUUAAUGUUUUAAUUUUGUAAACACCAAGUCUAAUCAUGUUUCUCGUUUGUCGCAUCAUGUCCACCUCAUGUCCGAGUGGAUUGAAAAAGCAAAAGGCUAGAAGAAAAGUAUUCGAUUCUUAGUAAAGUCAAUACGCACUCCGUGACGUCUCCUCCAGAACUUCCUAGUAAAGUCUCCAUUCUUCACUCUCAAAAUCUCCAUACCCAACAGCUCCAUCUACUCCUUUUACGCGUUCCCACAACAGCUAUAUAUAUGCACACACAAAGUGUUCAUCCUCACAUCUUCACAUCUUACUACAGAUUAAGUGUUAUUCACAUUAAUUUUCAUUAACAUUCUUGUGUUGCGACAGCCAUGAUUAACUGCAAUGUGUAUGAACGCAUUUUCAAGCGCUUCGAUGAAGAUGGUGAUGGGAAACUCUCUCCUUCGGAGCUCCGACGCUGCUUGGGGACGAUAGGGGAGGAGCUGCUGAUGGAGGAGGCGCAAGAGUUGGUGGAGUCGAUGGACUCGGACGGAGAUGGGUUGCUGGGAUUGGAGGAAUUUGUGGGGUGGAUGGAGAGAGAGGGUGAAGAGAGAAAGAUGGAGGAUUUGAGAGAGGCCUUUAGGAUGUAUGAGAUGGAAGGGAGUGGGUGUAUAACUGCAAAGAGCUUGAAGAGGAUGCUGAGUAGAUUGGGGGAGUCAAGAAGUGUGGAAGAGUGCAGUGUUAUGAUCGGACAGUUUGAUGUAAAUGGGGAUGGGGUUCUGAGCUUUGAUGAGUUCAAGCUCAUGAUGCUUUAAUCUUGUUUAACAUCUUUCAUCUGAAUGUUGUAUUUUUUUUUUAGAUUUAAGAAGAGUGGUUUGUAUUCAAAAAUUAAGAUACUCCUCAUUGCUUUCCUCGUGCACAUGGUGAAGAAAAUACUCCCUAUUCUAUAUUUGAUUUUGCAAAAAAAUUCCUUUUACGGCAAAGAGCAAGUGUGAUAAAAUUUAAGUUGAUUUUUAAAUUAAAUUGUUAAUUCAAAUCAUUUUCUCUCUCUGUUUGUAAAAUAUUCAUAUUAAAAAUAUUAUAAAAAUACAUAAUAUUAUUACAUAAAAUAAUAAUGAAAUAUAUAUCAUGGAAAAAAUGAAGUAUUAAAUUAUUUUAUAUUUUUAAAAAGUUAUUUAGUCUAAGUUAUUGUUUUGCAUUAUUUUAACUUUAAAUUAUAUAGAAUUAAUUUACCAAUAUGCCUAGACCCCAUUUGAAAUAGAGUUUAACUUUUGCCCUAAUAAUAAAUAAGUAGAAGUAUAAGUAUUAUUGGUGUAAUUGAAUUUUAUAUUUUGGAAUGAUAUCUAUCCCCGCAAAUUUUGGCAGUCUUAUAAAAAAAGUAAAACUGUUGAAAAAAUAUUAGAAUAAAAUUUUUGCAUUAAAAUAAUUAUCGGGGUGCACAAUCCAUAGGACGAUAAUGAAUUGGAGUUGAAGAUCAAUUAAGGACCUUAUUUUUUUUUUUUAAGUGGGAAGUUGUUUUUCAUAAUUUUAUCAUUGAAGUUAUCAGUAUUUGUAAGUGAAAUUAGAGAAUUAAAUUUGGAAUACUGAAGAUUUGAUUAUUUAAUUCAAGAAGUUUGGUUUCUUAAAGUUAACAACUUGUCUAAUUUAUUUAGGAAAUUAGUUAAUAAGAGAAUAUUUAUUUUCAAUUUUCUUUUGAUUUUGUCUUUUUUUAUUGAGGAAAUUUGUUAAUAAAAAAUAUAUAUUUUUAAUUCUCUCCUAAACUUUAAUGAUUUGAUUUAAUUUUAUUUUGUAAUACUUUUAAAUUUCAUGAGGUGUCACAUUUGAAUUAAGGAGUUACAAUUUUGAAGAAUAGUUUAGUGGUAAUUUCAUGCACCAAAUUUUUUAUAUCUAUAUUAUCAUCAAUGUUUUUAGAAUUGGAUCAGUCAUUAAACCGGAAAAGUUAUUGAUUCACAGUUUACUGGUUGGACCAACGAUCUAACCGCGGUCGAACCGGUACCGUCAUAAAUUUAUAUUUUAUUAUUUUAUAUAUUAUUAAAAUUUUAAAAAUUACAAAAAAAUAAUAUAUUUUAUCUAAAUUUUUACAAUAUCUAUCAAAAUUCUGAUCAACAAAUAAAAAUAACACAUUAAAUAAUAAAUAUAAAAGUAAUAAAACAAAAAAAUAAAUUUAAAAAAUAAAAAUCAAACAUUGGAGCAGCUACUGCACAGGCCGAGGAGGGGGGUGUGUGAUCUACAACGGGUGUCGCCAGGGUGGGGGAGAUUUAUAGCCGCUGGAGUGGGGGCUUACAAUAGGGGAAGGGGGAUUGGGGGGUUAUAGCAUGCCGAAGGAGGUUUAUAGCGGCAAGGGGUGGCUUACCGGCUUGCAACGGCACGAUGGGGAAAAGGUGACUCAAGCAACGGUCUUACGACCGAUGGAGGGAGAUUUUGCAUGGUGAAAUGACCGACAGUGGGAGCUUGUCGCGGUGGGUGAGGGGCGGGCGACAACUGCUAUGGUUUGGAGAGAGAGGGUUUGGAAGGAGGUUUUAUAUCUUCCAAAACAACGUUGUUUUGAUGCUAAAAAAAAAAAUUUAAUCGAACUGUCUAGUUUGAAGGGAAAUGGCCCGUUCGUUCGGUUCAUCAAUCGAAUCACCAAUUCAGUCGGUCCGAUCCUGGUUCAACCUAUUUCCGGUCUAAUUGAUCGGAUCGGACCAGAAUCAUGACCAACCGACGAUUGGACCUGCCUGUUUAGUCCGGUUUUUAAAACCAUGAUUAUCAUAAAAUAAGAAAUAUUUUUAUUAAGGUAAUAUUUAAUUCUCGAAAAAUUUGAGGGAAAUAAAAUAGAUAGAAAAAUUAGAAGAAAAAAAUAGAUAAUAAAUUUAAAAUCAAUAAAUUAUUUUUAUAUAUUACUUUAAACUUAUUUUACUUAUUUAACUAUUUUAUAUAAGGAUUAAAUAAUUUUAAAAUAAUAAAUUUUUAAUUAAAUUUAAUUAUAUUUGAUUUUUUUUUAUAGUAGAAUCAAAUAUAAGAAAAUUAUUUUUUGAUAUUUUUUAUUUUUGUAGUAUGAACGCACACUUGGAUAAGAUUGAAAGUUGUGGGCCACAUUUAAAAAUUCUUUUCAAACAAUACUAAUUUUGAUGGAAAACUCUUUUAAGAGGAUUUUAACAUGUUUAAUAAUUUAAAUUAAGUAAUUAAAUCAUAUUAAAUUAUUAAAUAAUUAAUUUAUCAAAUAUUUCUAAAUCUUUUAAUCAAAAUGAAAAAAAUAUUUGUUAUAUAUAUAUAUAUAUAUAUAUAUAUAUGUUCAUCCACGGUGACGAGUUAUUGGAAUAGUGUAGAAGUAGAUAGGUUGUUUGAACUUUGAAGUAGUUCAGAAGUUUGCUUGUCGGAAGACCACUAUUUUAAAAAAAAAAAACAAAUUAUUAUUAUUAUUAUUAUUUUAUUUUUAAUUUUGUAACAUGAAGUCUAUCGUGUUACUCGUCUGUCGCAUCAUUUCCACAUCAUGUCCAAGUGGAUUGAAAAAGCAAACAAGCCAGAAGAAAAGUAUUCAUUUACGAGGAGGGUUUGACCCUCGUACAGUGGAAUUCCAGCACAAAGCCUAGCAAUUUCUCACUUUCUGCCUCCGAAACCUGCCAAUACGCACUCCGUGACGUCUCCAACACUCGCUUCGCUUCAUUCUCCGGAACUUCCUAGUAAAGUAUCAAUUCUUCACUCCCAAAAUCUCUAUACCCAACAGCUCCAUCUACUCCUUUUACGCGUCCUCACAACAGCUAUAUAUAUGCACACACAAAGUGUUCAUCCUCACAUCUUCACAUCUUACCACAUAUUAAGUGUUAUUCACAUCAAUUUUCAUUAAUAUCCUUGUGUUGCGACAGCCAUGAUCAACUGCAAUGUGUAUGAACACAUUUUCAAGCGCUUCGAUGAAGAUGGUGAUGGGAAACUCUCUCCUUCGGAGCUCCGACGCUGCUUGGGGACGAUAGGGGAGGAACUGAUGAUGGAGGAGGCGCAGGAGGUGGUGGAGUCGAUGGACUCGGACGGAGAUGGGUUGCUGGGAUUGGAGGAAUUUGUGGGGUGGAUGGAGAGAGAGGGUGAAGAGAGAAAGAUGGAGGAUUUGAGAGAGGCCUUUAGGAUGUAUGAGAUGGAAGGGAGUGGGUAUAUUACUCCAAAGAGCUUGAAGAGGAUGCUGAGUAGAUUGGGAGAGUCAAGAAGUGUGGAAGAGUGCAGUGUUAUGAUCGCACAGUUUGAUGUAAAUGGGGAUGGG